UACAGAGGGUGCAAGCGUUAAUCGGAGUUACUGGGCGUAAAGGGCGCGUAGGCGGGUGUCUAAGUCGGUUGUGAAAUCCCUGGGCUUAACCUGGGAAUUGCAUUCGAUACUGGAUAUUCUUGAGUAUGGUAGAGGAAAGUGGAAUUCUCGGUGUAGUGGUAAAAUACGUAGAUAUCGAGAAGAACACCGGUGGCGAAGGCGGCUUUCUGGACCAAUACUGACGCUGAGGCGCGAGAGCGUGGGGA
Molecule: ribosomal RNA, 245 nt
Filed under: uncultured bacterium
Lineage: Bacteria
Description: partial 16S ribosomal RNA
Rfam family: Bacterial small subunit ribosomal RNA
Source: RNAcentral